This is a long non-coding RNA of Sinocyclocheilus rhinocerous, 307 nucleotides long. RefSeq lists it as uncharacterized. The transcript is spliced from 4 exons. Lineage: Eukaryota; Metazoa; Chordata; Actinopteri; Cypriniformes; Cyprinidae. The record is from RefSeq and is a predicted model, not a curated record.
UUGUGUGUGGCUUCAUCUCUUGUAGAGACAUAUAAGGAUUGUGAGGUGACACAUUACCUGAGCUGCAACAGUGCAACAAGUGAUACAGCAAUUACCAGCAGUUUUCUGCUUGACCAGCAUGUUUAAGCCAGCCAAACUGGUCAAAUUAAUAAGUCAUCUUCAAAUCCACUUCAACAUGCAGUUGUCUGUGGAGUACAUCUUGUCUUGGGAGCACCCUUUGAUUUUACAUCUUGUGACAUUCCAAUCAUACGGAGAUGGUGGACUCCAGAUGGUUUUCUCUGAAAGUGCAGAAACCCUACAAGAGGCC